GACGAACGCUGGCGGCGUGCCUAAUACAUGCAAGUAGAACGCUGAAGAGAGGAGCUUGCUCUUCUUGGCUGAGUUGCGAACGGGUGAGUAACGCGUAGGUAACCUGCCUUGUAGCGGGGGAUAACUAUUGGAAACGAUAGCUAAUACCGCAUAACAAUGGAUGACACAUGUCAUUUAUUUGAAAGGGGCAAUUGCUCCACUACAAGAUGGACCUGCGUUGUAUUAGCUAGUAGGUGAGGUAAUGGCUCACCUAGGCGACGAUACAUAGCCGACCUGAGAGGGUGAUCGGCCACACUGGGACUGAGACACGGCCCAGACUCCUACGGGAGGCAGCAGUAGGGAAUCUUCGGCAAUGGGGGCAACCCUGACCGAGCAACGCCGCGUGAGUGAAGAAGAUUUUCGGAUCGUAAAGCUCUGUUGUAAGUCAAGAACGGGUGUGAGAGUGGAAAGUUCACACUGUGACGGUAGCUUACCAGAAAGGGACGGCUAACUACGUG
RNAcentral lists this ribosomal RNA (497 nucleotides) under uncultured bacterium. Its description in RNAcentral is "partial 16S ribosomal RNA". It matches the Rfam family "Bacterial small subunit ribosomal RNA", at positions 28 to 507 of the family's 1533-position model. The record is from RNAcentral.